ACGUAGGGGGCAAGCGUUGUCCGGAUUUAUUGGGCGUAAAGAGCGUGUAGGCGGCCUGAAAGGUCAGCUGUGAAAACUCGAGGCUCAACCUCGAGACGUCGGUUGAAACCAUCUGGCUAGAGUCCGGAAGAGGAGUGUGGAAUUCCCGGUGUAGCGGUGAAAUGCGCAGAUAUCGGGAAGAACACCUGUGGCGAAAGCGGCUCACUGGACCACAACUGACGCUGAGGCGCGAAAGCUAGGGGAGCAAACAGGA
Molecule: ribosomal RNA, 253 nt
Filed under: uncultured prokaryote
Description: partial 16S ribosomal RNA
Rfam family: Bacterial small subunit ribosomal RNA
Source: RNAcentral